CAGCCGCCGCGGUAAAACGAAGGGUGCAAGCGUUGUCCGGAAUUACUGGGCGUAAAGAGUUCGUAGGCGGUUUGUCGCGUCGUUUGUGAAAACCAGCAGCUCAACUGCUGGCUUGCAGGCGAUACGGGCAGACUCGAGUACUGCAGGGGAGACUGGAAUUCCUGGUGUAGCGGUGAAAUGCGCAGAUAUCAGGAGGAACACCGGUGGCGAAGGCGGGUCUCUGGGCAGUAACUGACGCUGAGGAACGAAAGCGUGGGUAGCGAACAGGAUUAGAUACCCCUGUAGUCCCUGUCUCUUAUAC
Molecule: ribosomal RNA, 301 nt
Filed under: uncultured bacterium
Lineage: Bacteria
Description: partial 16S ribosomal RNA
Rfam family: Bacterial small subunit ribosomal RNA
Source: RNAcentral